RNAcentral lists this ribosomal RNA (253 nucleotides) under uncultured bacterium. Its description in RNAcentral is "partial 16S ribosomal RNA". It matches the Rfam family "Bacterial small subunit ribosomal RNA", at positions 524 to 776 of the family's 1533-position model. The record is from RNAcentral.
UACGGAGGGAGCUAGCGUUGUUCGGAAUUACUGGGCGUAAAGCGCACGUAGGCGGCGAUUCAAGUCAGAGGUGAAAGCCCGGGGCUCAACCCCGGAACUGCCUUUGAAACUAGAUUGCUAGAAUCCUGGAGAGGCGAGUGGAAUUCCGAGUGUAGAGGUGAAAUUCGUAGAUAUUCGCAAGAACACCAGUGGCGAAGGCGGCUCACUGGCUCGGUACUGACGCUGAGGUGCGAAAGCGUGGGGAGCAAACAGG